GCCGUCGUCGUCUACGACUUCGGCGCCGGCACCUUCGACGUGGCGGUACUCCGGCGCCGCCCGGACGGCGGCU
This 73-nucleotide transfer RNA is filed under the name Plantactinospora endophytica. RNAcentral describes it as "tRNA-Arg". Lineage: Bacteria; Bacillati; Actinomycetota; Actinomycetes; Micromonosporales; Micromonosporaceae. The record is from RNAcentral.